GAUGAACGCUGGCGGCGUGCCUAAUACAUGCAAGUCGAGCGAACGGACGAGAAGCUUGCUUCUCUGAUGUUAGCGGCGGACGGGUGAGUAACACGUGGAUAACCUACCUAUAAGACUGGGAUAACUUCGGGAAACCGGAGCUAAUACCGGAUAAUAUUUUGAACCGCAUGGUUCAAAAGUGAAAGACGGUCUUGCUGUCACUUAUAGAUGGAUCCGCGCUGCAUUAGCUAGUUGGUAAGGUAACGGCUUACCAAGGCAACGAUGCAUAGCCGACCUGAGAGGGUGAUCGGCCACACUGGAACUGAGACACGGUCCAGACUCCUACGAGAGGCAGCAGUAGGGAAUCUUCCGCAGUGGGCGAAAGCCUGACGGAGCAACGCCGCGUGAGUGAUGAAGGUCUUCGGAUCGUAAAACUCUGUUAUUAGGGAAGAACAUAUGUGUAAGUAACUGUGCACAUCUUGACGGUACCUAAUCAGAAAGCCACGGCUAACUACGUG
Molecule: ribosomal RNA, 497 nt
Filed under: uncultured bacterium
Lineage: Bacteria
Description: partial 16S ribosomal RNA
Rfam family: Bacterial small subunit ribosomal RNA
Source: RNAcentral